GUCAAGAAGGAAGGCUUAACCCCCACC
Molecule: non-coding RNA, 27 nt
Filed under: Cricetulus griseus (Chinese hamster)
Lineage: Eukaryota; Metazoa; Chordata; Mammalia; Rodentia; Cricetidae
Source: RNAcentral